RNAcentral lists this long non-coding RNA (3066 nucleotides) under Marmota monax (woodchuck). The record is from RNAcentral. Lineage: Eukaryota; Metazoa; Chordata; Mammalia; Rodentia; Sciuridae.
GUUCUGGGGCCUACUAGCAACCCUUACAGACACCUGGCUUUGUUUGUGCCUUGGGCUCUCUAGUUUUUACCCUCUCCUUUUUGGUCAUUCCACAGUGCCCUGUUCCCCUUAUGGGAAGGGACAUCCUCACAAAGUUGGGGACUAUGCUUUCCUCCUUCCCUCAUAUUCACUUCCAUCCAGACCCCCUGCCGCUCCCCUGACCCUCACCCUGACCUUAGGACCGUCCCCGAUUCCACCUGCCAGUGCCCUUCCCAUUGCCUCCUUCUGAGGUGGACCCUACUGUCUGGGAUGCUUCACACCAGGAGCCCAUUCAAUCAUUCAAGACCCCCUCCCUUUUCUGCCCAGUCACAAUGCCCACUCUCCCUCCUUGCUGCUGCGUCCCUCCCCUUCGCAGAGCAGCCUGUCAGGCUCCUGACACAAGCCGCUUCUUAGCCCAGGCGUGUGUGUGACUAGUCCUGGGCACUUGUCUUCACUGAUGCCAGUGACUCCAUCAUGUUCUCCCACCAGCUUUGCUCUCCCCUCCGGGGAUCGGAGCUGCUUUGGGACCCUGGCCCGAGGGCCCAGGACAAUGACCACACACCUUCCUCCAUUCACGCAGCACCCUUCUUCAUCCCCACGCAGGCCUCAUCUGGGUAAGUGACUUUGCCCCUCCCCUCCACUCCUAGAGGCGGCAGUGACAAGUGUCCUCUCUAGAACUUAGAUCUUGGCCCAGCACCAAGAUUCUCGCCCAUUCCUUUACCUUGGCGAGUUCACUCUCAGGUCUUGGUUCUCAGCUCCUGAGCACAGCUCGUGGAAGCCCUGGUCUCUUUGUCAGAUCUUUCACCAAGCAACCAAGACUCUCUAUGGGCAGAGACCAGGACUAGGGAAGUAGUGGGUGACUCCCUUCUCUCAGUCCCAGACUCCAACUCGCCAUGGGAAACCCCCAAAUCCCAUCUGACUCUCCUCUCAGCUGCCUCCUGGCCCACCUCCUUGCCCACUUAGCCCGACUCUGUUUGCUCCUGAUCUAAAGGCCCAUGGACCAAUUCAACCUUCCAAUCUUCAUGACUUUUGUGAGCGCUCAGGAAAAUGGAAGGAAAUCCCUAUGUGCAGGCUUUCUCCUUUCCCCACUCUAAGCCUUCCCUUUGCUCCUCCUGCUCCCCAACCCACCUUCUACCUGCCACUAAAGCUCUGGAUUCCUCCAGAGACCCUACUUCUAGGCAAACAAGGGACCCAGAGCUCUCCUACCUUGUGAAGCCCUAGGCAGCCAUCUCCCUGGCCACGGCCACACUGAAGCUGACAUUGAAAUACGAAGGACAGACUCAGCUUGGUGAGAGGCCUAAGGGGAAAAAAAGAAGAAAAGUGUCUAUUUAACUUUUCCCUUGGCUACAAGGCAGAAGAAUGACUUCAAAACUUUCUCUCUCUAUCUCCCUAUCUUACAAGCACAUUUCACCUUUACAUAGCUGAAGAGGAGGGAUUUGCUCUAGGAGUCCUCGGACACAGGCUGGGGCCAACCUUUGCCCCUGUGGCUUAGCUAUUGAGGGGUCUUGACCCUACUGUUCAGGGAAGGGCCCCUUGCCUACCAAUGUUGGCCGCAGCCUCUCUACUCAUUCAUGAGUCGAAAGAAACAGACCUUUGGUGCCCCACUCACCUAAAGAGUCUCCUCACCUACCAGGGCUUACGUUCCUUACCCCCCAGUGGCCAUUUAUCUCUACAGGUUUCCCUGGUGGAAGUUCCCAGUCUUAUUCUCCACAGUGCUCACCUUUAAACCCUGCUACUCUCCCCCCACCCCUCAGGACUCUCCCACCUCUCCUCUCACCCAUUCAUGCAUUGGAACUCUGGAGGAGAUUCUCCCACACCCCUCCCACACACAGGAAGGCCCCUUGCUCCAGGUCAUAUACACAUGGCCCACAGAUGGCUCCUCCUUCCUGCAGGAGGGAGUCCGUGGGGCAGGGUCUGCUACACUCUAACCUCGGUUGUGGAAGAGCUUCCUCCCCCAAAACACAUCCAAUCAGCAGGCUGAACUGGUCGCCCUCACCAGAGCCUUCACUUUGGCAAAGGGAGCCUCCCUCCAUGUCCACACUGACUCUAAAUACCCCGUCCACAUGCUUCUCUCCCACUCUGCUAUCUGGAAGGAGAGCGGAUUCCUUACCACCAAGGGAACUUCAUUACUAAUGCCCCCUGUAUCUCUGAUCUCCUUUAGGCCUCAGAGCUUCCCACUGCCAUUGUGUCUGAAGGAUGGCAGCUAAGAACCCCCUUCUCCAGUGGACACUUCCUUUCCUGACCUCUCUCCUUGCCACAGGCCUUUUGCUAAUGCUUGCCUCCUGCGCCAUUAGAUGUAUUCAAGAUGAGGUGCCAAGGAUCUCUAACCAAACUGUGAACCAGCUUCUGUCACAGGACUUCCAACCCCUCACCAAACUUGGCCAUCCAGAGUCAGCGUCGCCCAGCGCCUCCCGCCCUCUCCACUGCCUCCAUGACACCCCACACCCCUCACAAGGGUCCAGAUGCUGCCCCUUCCCAGCAGGAAGAAGUAAUAGAAGAUCCAUCUAUGCCCCUGUCCCUUAAGGGACCCAAUAACAAACAAAAAGCGGGUGGGGGGAGGAUGUAAGGUCCUUGCUUAGCUUCUGGAAGGCCAUCUUAAGUGACAGCCACCAUUUUUUAAAAGGUAUUAUUUUUUUUAAGUAUUUAUCUUUAGUUGGACAAAAUACCUUUAUUUUAUUUAUUUUUAUAUGGUGCCGAGGAUCGAACCCAGGGCCUCUCAUGUGCUAGGCACACACUCUACCAUUGAGCCACAACCCCAGCCCAGUAAAACGUAUUUUUUUUUAUCCAGUUUUUCCUUUUUUUAAUUGAUUUAUUUUUAAAAAAAUACAGGACAACAGUGGAAUGCAUUACAAUCCUUAUUACACAUAUAAAGCACAGUCUUUCAUAUCUCUGUAUAUAAAGUACGUUCACACCAAUUUAUGCCAUUAUACAUGUAAUUUUUUUGCAUUACAAUUCUUAAUAUACAUAUAUACCACAAUUUUUCAUAUCUCAGUUUGUAUAUAAGGUAUGUUGACACCCAAUUCAAGUCUUCAGACAUGUACUUUGUAU